RNAcentral lists this long non-coding RNA (216 nucleotides) under Mytilus galloprovincialis (Mediterranean mussel). The record is from RNAcentral. Lineage: Eukaryota; Metazoa; Mollusca; Bivalvia; Mytilida; Mytilidae.
AUAAAAUUAACAACUAUAGGUCACCGUACGGCCUUCAACAAUGAGCAAAGCCCAUACCGCAUAGUCAGCUAUAAAAAGCCCCGAUAAGACAAUGUAAAACAAUUCAAACGAGAAAACUAACGGCCGUAUCUAUGUAAAAAAAUGAACUAAAAACAAAUAUGUAACACAUAAACAAACGACAACCACUGAAUUACAGGCUCCUGACUUGGGACAGGC